UAUUAUUUAAUAAAAAUAUUAAUUUCUUAAGUAGUAAUAUUUAAAAAUUAAAAUUUAAAAAAUAUGGCAGUAUUUUAUCCUAUUUAGAGGAAUUUGUUUUUUAAUUGAUAAUCCACAAUAAAUUUUACUUAAUUUAAAUAAUUUGUAUAUUGUUGUUAAAAAAAAUUUUUAAAUAGAAUAAAAUUUUUAAAAAAAUUAAUUAAUUUAAAUAUCAAAUCAUAAUGCAAUUUAUAAUUAAGAUUAAAAUGAAUUACAAUAAAUUUAUUUAAACAGUAUUUAUAUUGAAAUAUAUAUAUUAAGGUGGAUUUAAAAGUAAAAUUUAUUAAAUUUUAAUUUUGAAAUUAUUUUAAAAUAUGUACAUAUUGCCCGUCGCUUUCAUUUUGUAUUGGAAUAA
RNAcentral lists this ribosomal RNA (394 nucleotides) under Neurolyga excavata. RNAcentral describes it as "partial 12S ribosomal RNA". Lineage: Eukaryota; Metazoa; Arthropoda; Insecta; Diptera; Cecidomyiidae. The record is from RNAcentral.